AAGAAGUCAGGCCGGAUUAAGCCAUAGCACGGUAAGAGCUAUGCUGCCUGUGAGCCCCGUCUAAGGACGUAAAAUGAAGUCAGGCCGAAAGCCACGGUUUGAGCAAGCCGUGCUGCCUGUAGCUCCAUCGUGGGGAUGUAAAAACCUGGGAGGCUGCAAACCAUGGAAGCUGUACGCAUGGGGUAGCAGACUAGUGGUUAGAGGAGACCCCUCCCAAAACACAACGCAGCAGCGGGGCCCAACACCUGGGAAAGCUGUACCCUGGUGGUAAGGACUAGAGGUUAGAGGAGACCCCCCGCAUAACAAUAAACAGCAUAUUGACG
This 323-nucleotide long non-coding RNA is filed under the name dengue virus type 1. Its description in RNAcentral is "Dengue virus 1 partial sfRNA1". The stretch from base 233 to 304 matches the Rfam family "Flavivirus DB element". Lineage: Riboviria; Orthornavirae; Kitrinoviricota; Flasuviricetes; Amarillovirales; Flaviviridae. The record is from RNAcentral.